RNAcentral lists this ribosomal RNA (462 nucleotides) under uncultured bacterium. Its description in RNAcentral is "bacterial SSU rRNA". It matches the Rfam family "Bacterial small subunit ribosomal RNA", at positions 28 to 475 of the family's 1533-position model. The record is from RNAcentral.
GAUGAACGCUAGCGACAGGCUUAACACAUGCAAGUCGAGGGGCAGCGGGGAUGAGAGCUUGCUCUCAUCUGCCGGCGACCGGCGCACGGGUGAGUAACACGUAUGCAACCUGCCCGCUACAGGGGGAUAAGCGGAAGAAAUUCCGUCUAAUACCGCAUAACGAGUUCCGGGGACAUCCCCGGGAUUCCAAAGGAGCGAUCCGGUAGCGGAUGGGCAUGCGUCGCAUUAGGUAGUUGGCGGUGUAACGGACCACCAAGCCGACGAUGCGUAGGGGUUCUGAGAGGAAGGUCCCCCACACUGGUACUGAGACACGGACCAGACUCCUACGGGAGGCAGCAGUGAGGAAUAUUGGUCAAUGGGCGGGAGCCUGAACCAGCCAAGUCGCGUGAGGGAAGACGGCCCUAUGGGUUGUAAACCUCUUUUGUCAGGGAGCAAGGACUGCCACGUGUGGCAGGGCGAGAG